UUUAUUUAUUUUUAUUUUUUAGAAAAUGAUUAAGCUAGUUCGUAGUCAACUCAGCAACCGUCUCCCCGGCAACGGCGCCAAAAAGCUUGUUGACACUUGCUAACACCACUUGAAUACUAGGUUGUCAUCCCCAGCAUGGCACUAGAGUGUACUAUGGUAUUUCUACGCACACAGAUAAAUCCGCAAGCGCACGGAUACCGUUGUAGCUUUUACCCGGUUAAAGGUUUUAUCGUAUCCAUAGGGAAACGGGAGAACUGAUCUACGCUCUAACUUAACCUAGAUAGAUAGGUAGGUGUAAAUAGGAAAGAUAGUGGAAUUGAAUAAGAACAAUAUUAAAGGUAAGAUAACAAUGGUGAUAAUAUGGGAAUAGAGAGUAGAGCAAUCUAGUAUAUGGGCGAUGGUAGGAGAAUAAAGA
This 415-nucleotide long non-coding RNA is filed under the name Sorghum bicolor (sorghum). Its description in RNAcentral is "long non-coding RNA (SBIC_LNC011953)". The record is from RNAcentral. Lineage: Eukaryota; Viridiplantae; Streptophyta; Magnoliopsida; Poales; Poaceae.